RNAcentral lists this non-coding RNA (29 nucleotides) under Rattus norvegicus (Norway rat). Lineage: Eukaryota; Metazoa; Chordata; Mammalia; Rodentia; Muridae. The record is from RNAcentral.
UGUCAUUGAAAAUGCGUUGUCUCAUGAUA